UACAGGGGGUGCAAACGUUGCUCGGAAUCAUUGGGCGUAAAGCGCACGUAGGCGGUUCGUUAUGUCGGAUGUGAAAGCCCUUGGCUUAACCGAGGAAGUGCAUCCGAAACUGGCGAGCUAGAGUACGAAAGAGGAUCGCAGAAUUCCCGGUGUAGAGGUGAAAUUCGUAGAUAUCGGGAGGAACACCGGUGGCGAAGGCGGCGAUCUGGGUCGAUACUGACGCUGAGGUGCGAAAGCGUGGGGAGCAAACAGG
RNAcentral lists this ribosomal RNA (253 nucleotides) under uncultured bacterium. RNAcentral describes it as "partial 16S ribosomal RNA". It matches the Rfam family "Bacterial small subunit ribosomal RNA", at positions 524 to 776 of the family's 1533-position model. The record is from RNAcentral.